Clupea harengus (Atlantic herring) is the source of this 1039-nucleotide long non-coding RNA. NCBI's taxonomy places the organism in Eukaryota, Metazoa, Chordata, Actinopteri, Clupeiformes, Clupeidae. The record is from Ensembl.
UGUGUGUGUGUGUGUGUGUGUGUGUGUGUGUGCUGUCAGAUUGUAACCGGGAAGGGACUUUUGUUUUGAAAAUACAACUUUAAUUGUGAAGCAGGAAGUGGUCCUCAUGACAGGAAAUACAGGAAGUGCAGAGUCACUUAAGCACAGGUAGUGUGAGUGUUUGGAAAGCAUAUGGUGACUGCUAAUGGGGGACUUAACUUGCUGGCCACUACCAGGGAUGCUACUGGUAAGACAAUGUUUGAUGUUAUCUGGUAAUCUAUUGCAAAAGUGUGCUUUAGUGUUUGAGUGUUGUGGUAGUUUACAUGCACUGUUGUUGUUUGUGUAUUUGAUGGAGGGCAGUUUGUGAGUGCUGUAUUUUAUGUUUGUUUCUUGUAAAGGUUUUCAACCUGAUAAGACGUGUUGCAUUAAAGAAGUAUUUGAACUCAAAUAAAACAAAGAAGAAUGAAGAAACCGUCAGAGUCGUUACCAUUUUAACCCUGUUGAUGGCCAAGGCCUUUUUCAAGUUUGGGCAGAAGUUAAAAAAAUCCCCUGAUAACUUGACAGUGUGUGUGUGUGUCUCUCUGUGUGUGUGUGUGUGUGUCUCUCUGUGUGUGUGUGUGUGUGUGUGUGUGUGUGUAGGUGACCUGAUGUUUGUUAAUGUGAGUGUGCCGUGGGUGGAGGCCCUGCGGUCCUGUGAGCAGAAGGGCCUGAGACUGCUCCACAUCCUGGACGACGCCACCCAGACCCGCCUCACCCAGCUGCUGACCUCCCUGCCGCCCGCCCACCGCCCCCGCCCCGUGCCCACGGCCUGGGUGGCGCUGGAGCGCUGCAUCAUCAACCCCAGUGCCCUCUGGAGGUGGGUGGAGGCUCCGGUGGCAUACGACCGCUGGCACAGCAAGCACCCACGCAACGCCUGCAGCUACCACUGUGGACAGGUGGUGUAUGAGGAGGAGGAGGAGGAGGACGAAGGUGUCUACAGAUGGUGGGACGCCUGCUGCAGGGAGACACACCCCUUCAUCUGUCAGAACAGGACAGCAGCUGCAGUGAUGGCAUGUACCAC